AUCCAGCUGACGAGUCCAAAAUAGGACGAAACGUACAUCUUGGAU
Molecule: non-coding RNA, 45 nt
Organism: Schistosoma margrebowiei
Lineage: Eukaryota; Metazoa; Platyhelminthes; Trematoda; Strigeidida; Schistosomatidae
Source: Rfam